CAAAGUUUUCCAUCCUCAUAAGUGAGAUAAAAUAUUUCCCCAAAUUAUGCACCUAAACAGUCGAAAUUACGGACAGGUUUCAAAGAGACAAACUAUGUAAACGUUAUAAUUUUCCCUAUUAAUAAAUUGUGACAAAAACCUCGAAACUUUUGUAACAUUUUACACAAAGUGUAGCACAGCAAGUAAGGGCGCUAUAAAAUAUUAUGAAAACAGGACAGAGGAUUGGAAGAAAGUAUCGAACUUGGUGAUUGAAUGGGUAUCCAAGGUGGAGAGCAAGGAGGCAUAGCUGCGAUUCUCUUUAAUGAAUUGGAGGUCAUCGUCGGAAACCUCAACUUCAUCCUCUGGGAUAUCCGGUGGAAGCUCCGGCGGAAGAACGAUUUUCUGCUUCUUCUUCCCCAUUGGUUGGAUGUAUGAGACUGAGGUUUUUCUAGGGUUUACUGUUAGUCAAGGUGUGAGACAACACACAAAUUUAUGAGAUUUAUAUUUAUUAAUAUUUACGAUUAAGUACCAAGUUAGAAUUAAAAUAUAAAUUACUUUAUUAUAA
Molecule: long non-coding RNA, 544 nt
Filed under: Phaseolus vulgaris (common bean)
Lineage: Eukaryota; Viridiplantae; Streptophyta; Magnoliopsida; Fabales; Fabaceae
Description: long non-coding RNA (PVUL_LNC005300)
Source: RNAcentral